AGCAGAGCACAACCACAGAACUCUUAAUAUGUUUAGGAAAAGCAAGCAGGAUAAGAACAUAGAACAGUACAGGCCCUUCAGCCCAUGAUGUUGUGCCGACCAUUGAUCCACAUGUAAGCCCCUCUGGUCCGCGUCACUUCUGCCUCUGCUCCCGCUCCUACUGUGGAGGAAAAACACCGCUGGCCACUACCAAUGCUCCAGGCCUCUUGGGGUUCUCCUACAAUUUCGAUUUUUGUUUCAUUCAGUGAGCUGAUCAACAUGCUAUUAUCUGCGAUGGAUAGUUUGCCCCCGAAUGUGAAGCGAGACCAGCCGUGGAAUGGACCUCGUUACUGGGCGCAUUACAUGCCCAGGAAAGACCUGUCGGUCUCCACCAGUCUGUACGUCGACUGGCGCCUCAGAUCUCAACCUCUUGAUGUCCAUCUGCCCGUUACAGUUACCUAAAUGUUGUCAGAUGUUCAUCUAGACCACAAUCACCUGAUGAAGGAGUGUCGCUCCGAAAGCUAGUGUGCUUCCAAUUAAACCUGUUGGACUAUAACCUGGUGUUGUAUGAUUUUUAACUUUGUACACCCCAGUCCAACACCGGCAUCUCCAAAUCAUCAAGACUCACAGCUUUUUGCUGCAAAAAUGGCAGUUAACAGAAAAUUCCGCCCAAAUUCUGCG
Molecule: long non-coding RNA, 660 nt
Organism: Hemiscyllium ocellatum (epaulette shark)
Lineage: Eukaryota; Metazoa; Chordata; Chondrichthyes; Orectolobiformes; Hemiscylliidae
Exons: 5
Source: RefSeq, a predicted model, not a curated record